Molecule: long non-coding RNA, 358 nt
Filed under: Ananas comosus (pineapple)
Lineage: Eukaryota; Viridiplantae; Streptophyta; Magnoliopsida; Poales; Bromeliaceae
Description: long non-coding RNA (ACOM_LNC035219)
Source: RNAcentral
AACUUUUCAAAAAAAAAAAAAAAAAAACUUUAAAUAUAGUACCAUAUAAUUUAAAGUGUAUCAAGUUAAUAUCCUGUGGCUUUAUUUUUAUUUUUUUGUCAGUUUUUUUGUUAAUAUUUUGUUAAAUUGUAUAAAAAAAACUUCAGAUACCCGACCUAGCUCUAUUGAAUAUCCACUUUAGUAACUUUUAGUUUUAACUUUAUUACUGAUUUAACGAAAAAAAUUAGUGAAAUUGAUAAUAAAAAAAUAAAAAUUAAAUCAUAUGGAACUAAAUUGAUAUAUUUUAAAUCAGAAGGUAAUAAAGUGAAAAAGUAUGAAACCAUAAGAAUAAUAUUUGAAAUUUUUUUUUAAAAAAAAA